CGGCAGUUACGCAUGCUAUACAUGCAGUCGAGCGAACAGAUAAGGAGCUUGCUCCUUUGACGUUAGCGGCGGACGGGUGAGUAACACGUGGGUAACCUACCUAUAAGACUGGGAUAACUUCGGGAAACCGGAGCUAAUACCGGAUAACAUUUGGAACCGCAUGGUUCUAAAGUGAAAGAUGGUUUUGCUAUCACUUAUAGAUGGACCCGCGCCGUAUUAGCUAGUUGGUAAGGUAACGGCUUACCAAGGCGACGAUACGUAGCCGACCUGAGAGGGUGAUCGGCCACACUGGAACUGAGACACGGUCCAGACUCCUACGGGAGGCAGCAGUAGGGAAUCUUCCGCAAUGGGCGAAAGCCUGACGGAGCAACGCCGCGUGAGUGAUGAAGGGUUUCGGCUCGUAAAACUCUGUUAUUAGGGAAGAACAAACGUGUAAGUAACUGUGCACGUCUUGACGGUACCUAAUCAGAAAGCCACGGCUAACUACGUGCCAGCAGCCGCGGUAAUACGUAGGUGGCAAGCGUUAUCCGGAAUUAUUGGGCGUAAAGCGCGCGUAGGCGGUUUCUUAAGUCUGAUGUGAAAGCCCACGGCUCAACCGUGGAGGGUCAUUGGAAACUGGGAAACUUGAGUGCAGAAGAGGAAAGUGGAAUUCCAUGUGUAGCGGUGAAAUGCGCAGAGAUAUGGAGGAACACCAGUGGCGAAGGCGACUUUCUGGUCUGUAACUGACGCUGAUGUGCGAAAGCGUGGGGAUCAAACAGGAUUAGAUACCCUGGUAGUCCACGCCGUAAACGAUGAGUGCUAAGUGUUAGGGGGUUUCCGCCCCUUAGUGCUGCAGCUAACGCAUUAAGCACUCCGCCUGGGGAGUACGACCGCAAGGUUGAAACUCAAAGGAAUUGACGGGGACCCGCACAAGCGGUGGAGCAUGUGGUUUAAUUCGAAGCAACGCGAAGAACCUUACCAAAUCUUGACAUCCUUUGAAAACUCUAGAGAUAGAGCCUUCCCCUUCGGGGGACAAAGUGACAGGUGGUGCAUGGUUGUCGUCAGCUCGUGUCGUGAGAUGUUGGGUUAAGUCCCGCAACGAGCGCAACCCUUAAGCUUAGUUGCCAUCAUUAAGUUGGGCACUCUAGGUUGACUGCCGGUGACAAACCGGAGGAAGGUGGGGAUGACGUCAAAUCAUCAUGCCCCUUAUGAUUUGGGCUACACACGUGCUACAAUGGACAAUACAAAGGGCAGCUAAACCGCGAGGUCAUGCAAAUCCCAUAAAGUUGUUCUCAGUUCGGAUUGUAGUCUGCAACUCGACUACAUGAAGCUGGAAUCGCUAGUAAUCGUAGAUCAGCAUGCUACGGUGAAUACGUUCCCGGGUCUUGUACACACCGCCCGUCACACCACGAGAGUUUGUAACACCCGAAGCCGGUGGAGUAACCAUUUAUGGAGCUAGCCGUCGUAGGUGAACAAUUAAGG
This 1461-nucleotide ribosomal RNA is filed under the name Staphylococcus saprophyticus. RNAcentral describes it as "bacterial SSU rRNA". It matches the Rfam family "Bacterial small subunit ribosomal RNA". The record is from RNAcentral. Lineage: Bacteria; Bacillati; Bacillota; Bacilli; Caryophanales; Staphylococcaceae.